This 391-nucleotide ribosomal RNA is filed under the name uncultured bacterium. Its description in RNAcentral is "bacterial SSU rRNA". It matches the Rfam family "Bacterial small subunit ribosomal RNA", at positions 775 to 1170 of the family's 1533-position model. The record is from RNAcentral.
GGAUUAGAAACCCCGGUAGUCCACGCCGUAAACGAUGGAUACUAGCUGUUGGGUUGCAAGACUCAGUGGCUAAGCGAAAGUGAUAAGUAUCCCACCUGGGGAGUACGAACGCAAGUUUGAAACUCAAAGGAAUUGACGGGGGCCCGCACAAGCGGUGGAGCAUGUGGUUUAAUUCGAUGAUACGCGAGGAACCUUACCAAGGCUUAAAUGUAGAUUGACCGGUUUGGAAACAGACUUUUUCGCAAGACAAUUUACAAGGUGCUGCAUGGUUGUCGUCAGCUCGUGCCGUGAGGUGUCAGGUUAAGUCCUAUAACGAGCGCAACCCCUGUUGUUAGUUGCCAGCGAGUCAUGUCGGGAACUCUAACAAGACUGCCAGUGCAAACUGUGAGGA